RNAcentral lists this ribosomal RNA (1349 nucleotides) under metagenome. Its description in RNAcentral is "bacterial LSU rRNA". It matches the Rfam family "Bacterial large subunit ribosomal RNA", at positions 1564 to 2925 of the family's 2925-position model. The record is from RNAcentral.
UGAGUACGAGCUGCUACGGCAGCGAAGUGGGUGAUGUCAUGCUUCCAAGAAAAGCCCUAUACCCGUUAAGGCAUGAUGGCCUGUACCCGAAACCGACACAGGUGGGGUGGUAGAGAAUACCGAGGGGCGCGAGGUAACUCUCUCUAAGGAACUCGGCAAAAUGACCCCGUAACUUCGGGAGAAGGGGUGCCACCGCAAGGUGGUCGCAGUGAAGAGGCCCAGGCGACUGUUUACCAAAAACACAGGUCUCCGCUAAGUCGCAAGACGAUGUAUGGGGGCUGACGCCUGCCCAGUGCCGGAAGGUUAAGGAAGCUGGUCAGCGUAAGCGAAGCUAGCGACUGAAGCCCCGGUGAACGGCGGCCGUAACUAUAACGGUCCUAAGGUAGCGAAAUUCCUUGUCGGGUAAGUUCCGACCCGCACGAAAGGCGUAACGAUCUGGGCGCUGUCUCGGAGAGAGGCUCGGCGAAAUAGAAUUGUCUGUGAAGAUGCGGACUACGUGCACCCGGACAGAAAGACCCUAUGAAGCUUUACUGUAGCUUGGUAUUGUGCUCGGGCUCGGAAUGCGCAGGAUAGGUGGGAGGCUAUGAACCAUUGCUUGUGGGUGAUGGUGAGCCACUGGUGAGAUACCACUCUUUCCGAGCUAGAGUUCUAACAGCCACCCGUUAUCCGGGGGCUGGACAGUAUCAGGUGGGCAGUUUGACUGGGGCGGUCGCCUCCUAAAAGGUAACGGAGGCGCGCAAAGGUUUGCUCAGGCUGGUUGGAAAUCAGCCGACGAGUGUAAAAGCAGAAGCAAGCUUGACUGUGAGACCUACAAGUCGAACAGGGAGGAAACUCGGCUUUAGUGAUCCGACGGUUCUGCGUGAAGGGCCGUCGCUCAACGGAUAAAAGUUACUCUAAGGAUAACAGGCUGAUCUCCCCCAAGAGUUCACAUCGACGGGGAGGUUUGGCACCUCGAUGUCGGCUCAUCGCAACCUGGGGCUGAAGUCGGUCCCAAGGGUUGGGCUGUUCGCCCAUUAAAGCGGUACGCGAGCUGGGUUCAGAACGUCGUGAGACAGUUCGGUCCAUAUCCGGUGCAUGCGCAGGAAUAUUGAGAGGAUUUCUCCCUAGUACGAGAGGACCGGGAGGAACGCACCUCUGGUGUACCAGUUAUCGUGCCAACGGUAAACGCUGGGUAGCCAUGUGCGGAGAGGAUAACCGCUGAAAGCAUCUAAGUGGGAAGCCCACCUCAAGAUGAGUAUUCCCAUGGGGUAACCCAGUAAGGUCACGGGAAGAACACCCGUUGAUAGGCUCUACGUGGAAGCGCAGUAAUGUGUGAAGCGGAGGAGUACUAAUAGACCGAGGGCUUGACC